Long non-coding RNA from Octodon degus (degu), 320 nucleotides. RefSeq lists it as uncharacterized. Lineage: Eukaryota; Metazoa; Chordata; Mammalia; Rodentia; Octodontidae. The transcript has 3 exons. The record is from RefSeq and is a predicted model, not a curated record.
CAGUCACAUGACCACACUGAGCUACAAGGGAGUAUGGGAAAUGCUAUCCAAUUGUGUGCCCAUGAAGAAGUUAGGUAAGUAUUUCCAUCCUUUUCUCUACAGAGAAAGACACAAGAUGCUGGAUUUAGGAGGAAGAACACCCCGGAACUCAAGGGUCAUUGACCAAAAAAGAAGAUGGCAGGGAGAUGGCUCACCACUGGGACCGAGGUCCUCAUGAGACAAAGAGCCUUUAUUCCUUCCUAAUACAGUCAGCUGCUGUGUUGAGCAGAGUACCAGGCCAUCACUGGUGAAGGAGGCGCAAAGGCUCCGGUCUCCCCAGC